UGAGCGCGCAGUUCCGCGCGCCGCCACCGCAGCUCCGCAGCGCUACCGGCGCUCAGAACUCCGCGUGGUGUCCGCGCUUGUGGUAGUUAGUACGACUUCGGAUCUUCGAUCAACAGGUGCCGUGCGUCCCGCGUGUGUCAUGUGACUCCCGUUCUGCUUACAAUCUGCCGGCGAUUUCGAUUGUGUUUUGUUUACAGUGAUGUUCAGCAUGAAACAGUUCGGUUUUCAAACGUUUCAGUGAUUUCAGAACCCUGUGCUUCAAGCGAUAAACCCUUUCACGUGCCCCGAUUGAUAUAACAGUUCUCCUAGCCGCGUUUCACGGCUGAGUUUUUUACACGCCUCUCGCAAGGUGGUUUUUGGAUCCGUUGUUUUUUGAGUUUUCGGUCGAUAGCAUCAUGAUGGAAAGUUUCAACGUUGACAAGUUCUACGACAUCGAGUCGAACGUCCUCAAUGACUUUUGGGAUGUUGAAGUUGAUCCGAAUAUGACGGAGGUGUUCAAAGUGACAGAGGAAGAUUGGAAUCCAGGUGGUUGCGCCGGCAUGCUGGAGGUGAAGCCGCAAGUAGUGAUCCAUGACCGGCUUAUGACCGACGCGGUCCUCGGCGCCUGCAACAUUCCCAUCAAAACAGAACACUCUUACUGCUCCUCACAACCCGAGAACAUACCCGACUCAGGACUCGACAAAAUUGACGAUCUGGAAGAUGAAUGCUACCGCGCCCUUCCACUCAACUGCGUGGCGAAAAGAAGACGGAGCAGCUCGCAAGAUGAGAGUCCGGACUCACCAAUCAUCGUUGUCAAAGAUGAACCCAUGAGCGACCAAGAGCCGGACUCCCCGUGUCCUCCUGUCCCUCUUCACCGCAGUCCAUGCACGACUAUGAAGAAAAACCAAGCGCAAACAUUAUGA
Molecule: long non-coding RNA, 902 nt
Filed under: Bemisia tabaci
Lineage: Eukaryota; Metazoa; Arthropoda; Insecta; Hemiptera; Aleyrodidae
Description: lncRNA ENSSSA3NGG013718
Source: RNAcentral